Ictalurus punctatus (channel catfish) is the source of this 609-nucleotide long non-coding RNA. Lineage: Eukaryota; Metazoa; Chordata; Actinopteri; Siluriformes; Ictaluridae. The record is from Ensembl.
UUUCAGCUCCUCUUCUAGCCAAUCAAUCGAAGAGGGGAGGUGACGUCACUCCACUGCGACUCAUGGCUGUGUGUUGACAGGUGAAGAAAGAUAUCCCGGACAAUUACAGUUGUGAAUGAAAUGGCUGGACCAACGGGACGUCCCAAACUCGGUGUGUCUGAGCAGCAACUUAGACAAUUGUCUGAAAUUGGACUGAGUGUACAUUUCAUUUCAAAACUGCUUGGCAUGUCAUCACGAACAGUUGAACGGAGAAUGCAAGAGUUUGGCAUUACAGUGAGGGAGUUCAUUCUUAAACAGCUUACAAGCAGCAGUCAGGCUUGGAUCGGUGUGACUGACAGCGACACAGAGGGGGUGUGGAAAUGGGUGGACAAUACACCACUGACCACUUCGUUCUGGUUGGUGGAGAACCAAAUAAUGCAGGCGAUGAGGACUGUGCCGAGAUUGUGAGUUGGAAGAACAGCUGGAACGACAGAUCAUGCUCUGCAAAUGUACGGUGUAUCUGUGAAAAGAACGUGUUUUUGUUGUAAGGUUAAAAUAACAGAAUGAGCAACAAGAGGGUGUGUGUUACAGUGAUUUCAUUAUUGGGAAGGGUGUUCUUAGGCAUUAAAG